This 2138-nucleotide long non-coding RNA is filed under the name Theobroma cacao (cacao). RNAcentral's name for it is "long non-coding RNA (TCAC_LNC000025)". Lineage: Eukaryota; Viridiplantae; Streptophyta; Magnoliopsida; Malvales; Malvaceae. The record is from RNAcentral.
AAAUGGACAAAAAACCAAAAAAGAAGACAUGUUGUAAGAAGCCUCAUUUCCCCUGCAUUGUAUGCACUUAAGUAGCAAGCCAUCAUUGCAUGAUUCUCAUCCACACGAAGCAAACAAAGAACUCUUUUCUACAAUUGCUACGGAAGUGACUUCAGAAAAAAAACAAAAUCAUCUUCUACGUUUCGUUGCUUCUAACCAUGUCUCUACCUUUCUUUUUGUUCUGUCAUCUGCUGGUUCUCUGGAACAAAAUUUCAUAAAAUAAGUACAUCAAAUGAAGAAAUCUCAUUCUUCUUGACAAACAAUUUUAGACAGAAUAACUACAACACACAGAAGUAAGAAACACAAGCAUUCAUACCUUGGCGUUGGGUUUGUCCCUUCUCCUAGCAACCUUUGCAAAACAGAAUGUAAAAGCAAUACUACUUACUCAAUACAUUACUCCUCAAUACUUUGUCAUUCAACAAUUACAGCUAAUUCUUAGAGUUGGUUGAAUUUGAACAUACCAUGUUCCCAAAAUAUCUGUGAAGAUAAUAAAAAAGAAAAAGAAAGCGUAUAAAAGGAAAAAACUAUAACGUAACGUGAUGGUUGAGGAUAAAGCAAAAAGUGAAUUGAGUUUUUAAAAUCAUAAGAAGCAAAGAUAAGAAGGCAGAAAAGAAAUCAGUUAAGAACUACCCAGCAACUCCACAUUAGAUUCAAUUUUGUAACUUUCAUGUGCUAUUGUAAAUAAAUUUCUUACAAACUAUUUAUAGAAAUAAUUACAUUGUUGUCAUAUUAAAGAGACUAAUAAGGAAAGCAGCACACAGAUAAAUAGUCUGUAGUUCUUUUAUGCUGUUUGCUUUUAUCUGAACAUGUGAGAGAACAAAAAAAUAUCAAUGGAAGAAAGAAAGAGAAACUAAGGAGAGGUCUGCACAUGAUGUUCAUUAAAUUAAGAUGUCUAGAUCUUUUUUGACAACCUAUGAACCAUGAAUGCUAACCUAAAACCUCAAUGAACGCAAAUAAAAGCUCAUAAAAUAACUAAAUGAUUAUGAAUGAGCAACAAAUAAGUAACCAAAACAAAUUGAAAAUUACAAUCAGAUGUUCAUUAAAUUCGACGCUGGGCUUGUCUUUGCCCAUCACCAAGAAAUCAUUCAGAACAUUUACAUAGUUUAUUUUGCAGAGGAAAAAAUCAAAUUUAUUAAUGAAGGAAACGAUAAGAAAAUAUUUAAACAUAGGUUGCUCUAUUUUUAAUUUUUCAGCUAACAAUCAUCGAUAAAAUGCUGGAGCUAGGACAAACUGUUGAGUCUUCAUCCUCCCAAUUCCACCUAUAUUCCUGUUUUAAAGAUAAACUUAAAAUCUCCAAAACUUGAGCUAGAACCAAAACCAGAGAUGACCAGACAAAUGAUUAAUAUCUAUGUAAACUAUCCAGUAAUUCAUAUUGAACGUUCUCAAGUUCAUGAUCACAUCAAUAAACAACCAAUGAAAAACCAUGACAGGUUUUUAUCAACAGAUCGAAGAUGACAGUAAACAAACAAAAAAACAUCAAAAGGCUCAUUCUUUCACAGCAACUAAGAGAUAAGGUCAAAAACACAGCUAUAAAAAUAAAUAAUGGAACGAAGGAAAAAUUAGUUUUUAGAAAUACCCAAACUUAAAUGGGAGUAAUAAAAAUUAAUUUUUUAUAACUAAUGGAACCAAGAAAGAACAAUGAAAGCCUGAAAGAAGAAAAAAAAGCACAAAAUAAAACUGGAAAAAGAGAGACAACAAUCAAAAAUGGAAGGAAAACCCCGGAGAAGAAAAACGCAAAAUCAAAACAGAGAAAGGCACAAAGUACUGGAAACAGUAAAACAAACCAACCAAACUCAAAGAGAGAAAUCACGAACAACAAAGCAUACAAAUCAAAGAAUGAAGAACGCAAACUCAAAAAGGAAGUAAGGAAGGUUGUGUAGUACCCAAAAAAAUAUAAGAAAAACUCCUCACCCAAAUUUCAAAAGCAAGUCGGACAUGAAAUGAAAGCAUGGAAAGCAAGCUACGCACACCAUCCCGUGAAGAUCACACACGCUUCUGAAAACGCGCACGACUCGAAACACCAAACCCAUCAUAACUUUCCUUCUCAUCAGAACUUCGCUCCUCCAACCUCCACGUGGCAAAACUUGGGGACCUCAUUG